Small nuclear RNA from Sciurus carolinensis (gray squirrel), 104 nucleotides. The record is from RefSeq and is a predicted model, not a curated record. NCBI's taxonomy places the organism in Eukaryota, Metazoa, Chordata, Mammalia, Rodentia, Sciuridae.
GUGCUCAUUUUGGUAGCACAUAUACUAAAAUUGGAAUGAUAUAGAGAUUAGCAUGGGCCGUGUGCAAGGGUGACAAGCAAAUUUGUGAAGUGUUCCACAUUUAA